This 442-nucleotide ribosomal RNA is filed under the name uncultured bacterium. Its description in RNAcentral is "partial 16S ribosomal RNA". It matches the Rfam family "Bacterial small subunit ribosomal RNA", at positions 338 to 795 of the family's 1533-position model. The record is from RNAcentral.
CCUACGGGUGGCAGCAGUGAGGAAUAUUGGUCAAUGGGCUUACGCCUGAACCAGCAACGUCGCGUGAAGGAAGAAGGCUCUCGGGUUGGAAACUUCUUUUGGCAGGGAAGAGUAGAAGACGGUACCUGACGAAUAAGCCACGGCUAACUACGUGCCAGGAGCCUCGGUAAUACGUAGGGGGCGAGCGUUUUCCGGAUUUACUGGGGGUAAAGGGCGUGUAGCCGGGUUGACAAGUCAAAGGUGAAAUCUUGCGGCUUAACCGCAGAACUGCGUUUGAAACUGUUGAUCUUGAGUACUGGAGAGGCAGACGGAAUUCCUGGUGUAGCGGUGAAAUGCGUAGAUAUUAGGAGGAACACCAGUGGCGAAGGCGGUCUGCUGGACAGCAACUGACGGUGAGGCGCGAAAGCGUGGGGAGCAAACAGGAUUAGAUACCCGGGUAGUC